UGAACCGAUUAAACGAAAUUGGUUCUGUUCGAUUUGUUUUAAACCAAAAAAUGCACUCUUAGAUAAUGUAAUUCAAACUAUCUCAUUUUUCCUUCUCUCAACUAUUUCUCAAUGCGUGCCACACAUUAAUUCCUUACUGAGUUUAUCUUUGUAUGUUCACACAUCCAUUUUAGUUCUCUUGUUUUUUCAUGCUAAUCUGGGGAAUGUGUUGUUUCUUCACCGCUCAAUGCUCG
Molecule: unclassified non-coding RNA, 233 nt
Filed under: Hevea brasiliensis (rubber tree)
Lineage: Eukaryota; Viridiplantae; Streptophyta; Magnoliopsida; Malpighiales; Euphorbiaceae
Source: RNAcentral